Molecule: unclassified non-coding RNA, 332 nt
Filed under: soil metagenome
Description: partial contains 5.8S ribosomal RNA, internal transcribed spacer 2, and large subunit ribosomal RNA
Rfam family: 5.8S ribosomal RNA (bases 1-120)
Source: RNAcentral
GAUGAAGAACGCAGUAAAAUGCGAUAAGUAAUGUGAAUUGCAGAAUUCAGUGAAUCAUCGAAUCUUUGAACGCACAUUGCGCCCGCCAGUAUUCUGGCGGGCAUGCCUGUUCGAGCGUCAUUUCAACCCUCAAGCACAGCUUGGUGUUGGGACUCGCGUUAAUUCGCGUUCCUCAAAUUGAUUGGCGGUCACGUCGAGCUUCCAUAGCGUAGUAGUAAAACCCUCGUUACUGGUAAUCGUCGCGGCCACCCCGUUAAACCCCAACUUCUGAAUGUUGACCUCGGAUCAGGUAGGAAUACCCGCUGAACUUAAGCAUAUCAAUAAGCGGAGGA